This 690-nucleotide long non-coding RNA is filed under the name Homo sapiens (human). Its description in RNAcentral is "non-protein coding lnc-VAX2-6:1". The record is from RNAcentral. Lineage: Eukaryota; Metazoa; Chordata; Mammalia; Primates; Hominidae.
CAAGAGAAUGGAUUGUCUAAUUUUUAGGAGCCAACAAAUGCUCAUUAAUCAAUGCCCCACGGAAGAACAUGAGAAGACAGUGUUGGCAUUUAAAACAAUAACUGUGGCCAUUACCAGGCCCCAGGAUGGACAGAUAGGGACAAGGACAGGGAUACCCAGCAUUUCUCUGAGAGCUGGUGCAAGAGGAUUAAUCCUGAAGGGCUCAUUUCUGAUUCUCCUCUGCUGGACAAAGAAUGACUGAGUUGGAACCUCAGAGGGUGCAAGUCAAGGUGCCAAGAGUAAGAUGCCAGUUUCGGUCUGUAAGCAAGUGUUUCUGGGGGUGAGGGAAGGUCAGGGGAAACCUGACCACUGGACAGGAGUGAGGCAGGUACAGUGCAUUGCUCCAGGUGUCAUGCAAAGCUAGAAAGUCAGCAUUUCCUCUGUUGUUUUGAUCCUCCUUAUACAACCCAAAGCCAACAGAGGAUUUCAACUUCCCCAAAUUUCUGCCCUGAGCAUUAAACAACUUUUUCCUAUGCUAAAUUUGGUUUUAGUUUUGAAGUGCCUGAGAUGCACAAUUCAAAGGGGUCAAGUUCCUGGCCUCUUAUGUUGAUGAAACCAUCCCCAAUCCUCAGCUUACAUGGCUUGCCCCUAUGCCUACCACCUCUUAUAGCUCUUCCAUCCAUCAUUCAAGAGGUUCCAUGAAGAAAGCUC